CUAAAGUUCACAUAUGUGUUGGCUGGCUGGGAGGGGUCAGCGCAUGAUGCUAACUUUCUCAGUGACAGCAUGAGUCGACCUAAUGGGAUCAACAUCCCCGACGGCAAGUUCUACCUUGGAGGUGUUGGCUAUGCAUGUCGGCCAGGUGUUCUUCCACCCUUCAGGAAAACCAGGUACCAUCUCAAUGAGUUCUCUGGUAGGAACUAUCCUAGGACUGCACAAGAGCUGUUUAAUCUCAGACACUCCGGCCUUAGAGUAACUGUUGAGAGGGUAUUUGGAGCUCUGAAGAAUAGGUUUAAGAUCAUGGAUCAGAAGCCAUUCCACCCAUACUCCACUCGGGUUAAGCUUGUCCUUGCUUGUUGCAUUCUGCACAACUGGAUCCUCUAG
Molecule: ribosomal RNA, 387 nt
Filed under: Triticum aestivum (bread wheat)
Lineage: Eukaryota; Viridiplantae; Streptophyta; Magnoliopsida; Poales; Poaceae
Description: partial small subunit ribosomal RNA
Source: RNAcentral